GAUGAACGCUAGCGGGAGGCCUAACACAUGCAAGCCGAGCGGUAUUGUUUCCUCCGAAAUGAGAGAGCGGCGUACAGGUGCGGAACACCUGUGCAACCUGCCUUUAUCUGGGGGAUAGCCUUUCAGGAAGGAAGAAUAAUACUCCAUAACAUAUUGAUUGGGAUCAAUUAAUAUUGAAAGCUCCGGCGGAUAAAGAUGGGCACUCCCCACAUUACCUAGAUGGUGAGGCAACGGCUCACCAAGGCGAUGAUCUUUAGGGGGCCUGAGAGGGUGAUCCCCCACACUGGUACUGAGACACGGACCACCACUCCUACGGGAGGCAGCAGUGAGGAAUAUUGGUCAAUGGGUGCAAGCCUGAACCAGCCAUCCCACGUGAAGGACGACUGCCCUAUGGGUUGUAAACUUCUUUUGUGUACGGAUAAACCUACCCUCGUGAGGGUAGCUGAAGGUACUAUACGAAUAACCACCGGCUAACUCCGUGCCAUCAGCCGCGGUAAUACAGACGGCGCAAGCGUUAUCCAGAUUUAUUGCGAUUAAAGGGACCGCAUGCAGACUUAUCACUCAGUGGUGAAAGCCUGUCGCUUAACGAUAAAACUGCCAUUGAUACUGGAACUCUAGACUAGAUUUGACGUAUCUGGAAUAAGUAGUGUAGCGAGAAAAUGCAUAGACAUCACUUAGCACACCGAUUGCGAAGGCAGGUUACCAAGAUAUAACUGACGCUGAUGUACGAAAGCGUGGGGAGCGAACAGGAUUAGAUCCCGUGGUAGUCCACGCCGUAAGCGAUGCUAACUCGUUUUUGGGCCUUAGGGCUCAGAGACCAAGCGAAAGUGAUAAGUUAGCCACCUGGGGAGUACGCUCGCAAGAGUGAAACUCAAAGGAAUUGACGGGGGCCCGCACAAGCGGUGGAUUAUGUGGUUUAAUUCGAUGAUACGCGAGGAACCUUACCAAGACUUAAAUGGGAAUUUACAGCUUUAGAAAUAGAGCUUUCUUCGGACAAUUUCCUAAGGUGAUGCAUGGUUGUCGUCAGCUCGUGCCGUGAGGUGUUAGGUUAAGUCUUGCAACGAGCGCAACCCCCGUCUCUAGUUGCCAUCAUUCAGUUGGGGACUGCUAGUGCGUACCGCCUACGCAAGUAGAGAGGAAGGUGGGGAUGAUGUCAAAUCAUCACGGCCCUUACGUCGUGGGCCACACACGUAAUACAAUGGCCGGUACAGAGGGCAGCUCCACAGCGAUGUGAUGCAAAUCUCGAAACCCGGUCUCAGUUCGGAUCGGAGUCUCCAACUAGUCUCCAUGCAGCCGGAAUCGUUAGUAAUCGCGCAUCAGCCAUGGCGCGGUGAAAAAGUUCCCGGCCCU
RNAcentral lists this ribosomal RNA (1350 nucleotides) under uncultured bacterium. Its description in RNAcentral is "bacterial SSU rRNA". It matches the Rfam family "Bacterial small subunit ribosomal RNA", at positions 28 to 1381 of the family's 1533-position model. The record is from RNAcentral.